RNAcentral lists this RNase P RNA (593 nucleotides) under Treponema sp. Its description in RNAcentral is "RNase P RNA component class A". It matches the Rfam family "Bacterial RNase P class A". Rfam says of the family: Ribonuclease P (RNase P) is a ubiquitous endoribonuclease, found in archaea, bacteria and eukarya as well as chloroplasts and mitochondria. Its best characterised activity is the generation of mature 5'-ends of tRNAs by cleaving the 5'-leader elements of precursor-tRNAs. Cellular RNase Ps are ribonucleoproteins. Lineage: Bacteria; Pseudomonadati; Spirochaetota; Spirochaetia; Treponematales; Treponemataceae. The record is from RNAcentral.
GCGAUGAACCAGGCUGCCGCGGUUUUCGGGGACACGCGAAACACGUCCCCGGGAAUUGAGGAAAGUCCGGACUCCGCAGGGCAUGAUGCCGGGUAACGCCCGGGCGGCGGGCCGUAAUCGGAGGAUUUUUCCGAAGAUAUUCGGCGCGCCGACAGACAGCGCAACAGAAAACAUACCGUCAGGCCGCCGGCGGGGCACAGCCCCGGGGGCCGGUGGCAACACCGGCUGCGGCGCAUGACAAGGGUGAAAUGGCGGGGUAAGAGCCCACCUCGGCGGCGGCGACGCCGCCGGAAAGAUUCCGGCCCGGACGGGAAGAAGGCGGGAGGCAACUCCGAACCUUUUUUCAGUUUCGCCGGAAAAUGGCAAGCCUCAUCAGGAGCAAAGUCAAAACGUGUGUGGGAAAGCGACGCUUUUCCGCCAGCUGCCCGUUGGUUAAACACAGGUAGACCGCACAGACCCGGCCGGCAAGGGCCGUGCCAGUCAGAUGGCAGCGGGACCGUUUCUUCAGGGAAGAUCGAUCGGCCGGAAAUUUCCGGUCCGACCGUUUCCCUGGAACGGUUUUUACAGAAUCCGGCUUAUGGUUCAUCGCUUUU